UACUCUUUUAAUAUAACCAGUAUAAGUGACUUCCAAUCGCUAUGUUUCAGCAUAAAUCUGAAAAAGAGUAA
Molecule: transfer RNA, 71 nt
Filed under: Podocnemis expansa
Lineage: Eukaryota; Metazoa; Chordata; Testudines; Podocnemididae
Description: tRNA-Gly
Source: RNAcentral